Zea mays is the source of this 97-nucleotide non-coding RNA. Lineage: Eukaryota; Viridiplantae; Streptophyta; Magnoliopsida; Poales; Poaceae. The record is from Rfam.
AAUGGGCGGGACAAAGGGUCACGAUCUCGCGAGGGUGAGCUAACUCCAAAAACCCGUCCUCAGUUCGGAUUGUAGGCUGCAACUCGCCUGCAUGAAG